RNAcentral lists this ribosomal RNA (760 nucleotides) under Gorgomyces hungaricus. RNAcentral's name for it is "eukaryotic LSU rRNA". The stretch from base 384 to 537 matches the Rfam family "5.8S ribosomal RNA". The record is from RNAcentral. Lineage: Eukaryota; Fungi; Ascomycota; Leotiomycetes; Leotiales; Leotiaceae.
AGUAAAAGUCGUAACAAGGUUUCCGUAGGUGGUUCGCCUGCGACAUCAGUCUGCUUCGGCAGGCAACAUCUCUACUGUGCUAGAAAUUACAAUGGUAUUACUAGCAGCCUGCCUGGCAGGUCCACAGAUCAAAUAGAGGUGGCCCCUAGGGGUUGAGACAUGAUCGAGUCCGUGCUGGAACAGCACCGAGGAAUUGGAACCUGCGGAAGGAUCAUUAAAGAGUCAUUGUGGGUUCACGCCCUAAUACUCCACCCAUUGUUUACAUUACCUUUGUUGCUUUGGCAGGCCCGUCUCCGGACCGCCGGCUCCCAGCUGGCCAGCGCCUGCCAGAGGACCCAAAACUCUUGUUUAAUAAUAUUGUCUGAGUACUAUAUAAUAGCUAAAACUUUCAACAACGGAUCUCUUGGUUCUGGCAUCGAUGAAGAACGCAGCGAAAUGCGAUAAGUAAUGUGAAUUGCAGAAUUCAGUGAAUCAUCGAAUCUUUGAACGCACAUUGCGCCCUCUGGUAUUCUGGGGGGCAUGCCUGUUCGAGCGUCAUUACAACCCUCAAGCACAGCUUGGUGUUAAGCCUCACCCAUCAGGGCGGGCUGCAAAAUCAGUGGCGGUGCCAUUCGGCUUCAAGCGUAGUAAUUCUUCUCGCUUUGGAGGACCGGGUGCGUGCCUGCCAGCAACCCCAAUUUUAUCAAAGGUUGACCUCGGAUCAGGUAGGGAUACCCGCUGAACUUAAGCAUAUCAAUAAGCGGAGGAAAAGAAACCAACC